RNAcentral lists this transfer RNA (72 nucleotides) under Danionella cerebrum. RNAcentral's name for it is "tRNA-Leu". It matches the Rfam family "tRNA". From Rfam's summary of the family: Transfer RNA (tRNA) molecules are approximately 80 nucleotides in length. Their secondary structure includes four short double-helical elements and three loops (D, anti-codon, and T loops). The record is from RNAcentral. Lineage: Eukaryota; Metazoa; Chordata; Actinopteri; Cypriniformes; Danionidae.
GGCUCGUUGAUCUAGGGGUAUGAUUCUCACUGAAGGUGCGAAAGGUCCCGGGUUCAAAUCCCAGACGAGUCC